GUAAGGAAUAUUGGUCAAUGGACGAAAGUCUGAACCAGCCAUACCGCGUGAAGGAUGAAGGCCCUCUGGGUUUUAAACUUCUUUUAUCUGGGACGAAAUAAGGGUAUUCUUACUCACUUGACGGUCCCAGAGGAAUAAGCACCGGCUAACUCCGUGCCAGCAGCCGCGGUAAUACGGAGGGUGCAAGCGUUAUCCGGAUUCACUGGGUUUAAAGGGUGCGUAGGUGGGUAUUUAAGUCAGUGGUGAAAUCUCCGAGCUUAACUCGUAAACUGCCAUAGAUACUAUUUACCUUGAAUGCCCUAGAGGUAAGCGGAAUAUGUCAUGUAGCGGUGAAAUGCUUAGAUAUGUCAUGGAACACCAAUUGCGAAGGCAGCUUACUACGGGACGACUGACACUGAUGCACGAAAGCGUGGGGAGCAAACAGGAUUAGAUACCCCUGUAGUCC
Molecule: ribosomal RNA, 445 nt
Filed under: uncultured bacterium
Lineage: Bacteria
Description: partial 16S ribosomal RNA
Rfam family: Bacterial small subunit ribosomal RNA
Source: RNAcentral